AUACAAAAACAUAAAAACAUCGACUGUUUUAUAUUUUGGCUAGUCGUUCACGUAAACUUUGGUCGGUUUGGGGUGGACGACUUCUUUUUUAUUUUGCU
This 98-nucleotide antisense RNA is filed under the name Staphylococcus epidermidis ATCC 12228. Its description in RNAcentral is "ctRNA". It matches the Rfam family "ctRNA". From Rfam's summary of the family: Rolling circle replication plasmids contain a number of mechanisms to maintain a low copy number. One of these methods is to transcribe a small RNA called ctRNA (for counter-transcribed RNA) than is transcribed on the opposite strand to RepB the replication initiation protein. ctRNA binds to the mRNA of repB and causes translational inhibition. Lineage: Bacteria; Bacillati; Bacillota; Bacilli; Caryophanales; Staphylococcaceae. The record is from Rfam by way of RNAcentral. RNAcentral also lists the same sequence under 1 other name.